AACAAACGCUGGCGGCGUGCCUAACACAUGCAAGUCGUACGAGAAAGGGUCCUUCGGGGCCUGAGUAAAGUGGCGCACGGGUGAGUAACGCGUGGAUAAUCUACCCUUCAGUUGGGAAUAACUCAUCGAAAGGUGGGCUAAUACCGAAUAACACUGUGAGACCUUGGUCGAUCAGUCAAAGAGAGCCUCUGCUUGCAUGCCCUCGCUGAAGGAUGAGUCCGGGUACCAUUAGCUAGUUGGUAGGGUAAUGGCCUACCAAGGCGACGAUGGUUAGCUGGUCUGAGAGGAUGAUCAGCCACACUGGAACUGAGACACGGUCCAGACUCCUACGGGAGGCAGCAGUGAGGAAUCUUGCGCAAUGGGGGCAACCCUGACGCAGCAACGCCGCGUGAGUGAGGAAGGUCUUCGGAUCGUAAAGCUCUGUCGGAUGGAAAGAACCGCAUGGGGGUAAAUAGCCCUCAUGUCUGACGGUACCAUCAGAGGAAGCACCGGCUAACUCCGUGCCAGCCGCCGCAGUAA
RNAcentral lists this ribosomal RNA (519 nucleotides) under uncultured bacterium. RNAcentral describes it as "partial 16S ribosomal RNA". It matches the Rfam family "Bacterial small subunit ribosomal RNA", at positions 29 to 523 of the family's 1533-position model. The record is from RNAcentral.